AAGUCGUAACAAGGUUUCCGUAGGUGAACCUGCGGAAGGAUCAUUAACAAACACAACAAACAUUGGCUGGAGCGUGUUUUGUUUUGCUUUUUCUUUGCUUUAGCAGUAAAGUAAAGUAAACUAAGCAAGAUGCGCGCUGUGCCAUCAACCUUUGUGAAUCGGGCGCAUGGCCGGCAGCAGUUCAGCAACCAAUGGUUGGCUGGCUGUUGUUGCCUUGCGCUUAGUCGGGAGUGGAAUGGAAUAGAAAAGAAUGGAGUAGAAUAGAAAAGAAUGGAAUGUAUUUUAUUAUAUAAUAUAUUACAAUCCAUUCAUUCUGCUUUAUUUUACUUUAUUUUGUUUUGUUUUAUUUUAUUUAUUCAAGUCUGAAUUCUUUGUCGAAAGACUAAAGCAACAAUACAAUGCAAUACAACUUUUAACAAUGGAUCUCUAGGCUCUU
RNAcentral lists this unclassified non-coding RNA (436 nucleotides) under fungal sp. Its description in RNAcentral is "partial internal transcribed spacer region". The stretch from base 1 to 46 matches the Rfam family "Eukaryotic small subunit ribosomal RNA", at positions 1786 to 1831 of the family's 1831-position model. The record is from RNAcentral. Lineage: Eukaryota; Fungi.